UACAGAGGAGCCAAGCGUUGUCCGGAUUGACUGGGCGUAAAGCGCACGCAGGCGGAUGCGCGCGUGGGGUGUGAAAUCUGGCCGCUUAACGGCCAGGCGCCAUCCCAUACGGCGCGUCUGGAGUGAUGCAGAGGUCGAUGGAAUUGCCGGUGUAGUGGUGAAAUGCGUAGAGAUCGGCAGGAACACCCAGGGGGAAACCAGUCGACUGGGCAUCUACUGACGCUGAGGUGCAAGAGCGUGGGGAGCGAACCGG
This 253-nucleotide ribosomal RNA is filed under the name uncultured bacterium. Its description in RNAcentral is "partial 16S ribosomal RNA". It matches the Rfam family "Bacterial small subunit ribosomal RNA", at positions 524 to 776 of the family's 1533-position model. The record is from RNAcentral.